Molecule: ribosomal RNA, 209 nt
Filed under: uncultured bacterium
Lineage: Bacteria
Description: partial 16S ribosomal RNA
Rfam family: Bacterial small subunit ribosomal RNA
Source: RNAcentral
UGCGUAGGCGGCGCGGUAAGUCGGGUGUGAAAUCUCGGAGCUUAACUCCGAAACUGCAUUCGAUACUGCCGUGCUUGAGGACUGGAGAGGAGACUGGAAUUUACGGUGUAGCGGUGAAAUGCGUAGAUAUCGUAAGGAAGACCAGUGGCGAAGGCGGGUCGUCUGGACAGUUCCUGACGCUGAGGCACGAAGGCCAGGGGGAGCAAACG